RNAcentral lists this ribosomal RNA (253 nucleotides) under uncultured bacterium. RNAcentral's name for it is "partial 16S ribosomal RNA". It matches the Rfam family "Bacterial small subunit ribosomal RNA", at positions 524 to 776 of the family's 1533-position model. The record is from RNAcentral.
UACGUAGGUGGCAAGCGUUGUCCGGAUUUACUGGGCGUAAAGCGUGUGUAGGCGGACGCUUAAGUAGAAAGUGAAAGGUUGGUGCUCAACACCAACAUUGCUUUCUAUACUGGGUGUCUUGAGUGCCGGAGAGGAAGAUGGAACUGCACGUGUAGCGGUGAAAUGCGUUGAGAUGUGCAGGAACACCAAUGGUGAUGGCAAUCUUCUAGACGGAAACUGACGCUGAGACACGAAAGCCAAGGGAGCGAACAGG